AAGUGUUUUUCCCUCUUUUCUUUUGCUUUUGAGUUUGCCUUGCUUUUUCUCUGGUUGCUGUGGCGUUUGUAAUGAAAAAGAAUAGAAAUUGAAGCCUAUUUUAUAAUAUUCUUCGUGUUCAUUUAUCCCCUUUGCUUUUUAAACAAAAUUGUAAUUCAAUAGCUGUGACAAUUAGGAGUUUAUGGGAAAGCUAUUGAAUUUAUUUAAUUUUUUAAAUGUUUCUGCUUGAUUUUGGUUUUAUUUUCCCCUUUACUUGAUGGGUUUAAUUUUUAUUUUCCUGGUUAUCGUGAAUUUGGUAACUGGAUUUUUUUUUUAGAUUUUUUAAUUGUGAUUUUGUGGGAAAACUUAAGUUAGGUAGUUUUGAUGUUUUUGGUGAACUGAUGCCACUAUCAGCCUGCUUGUUUGCUGAGAAUAUUCAAGAUGAGGAGAAAAAGGAAACUUUGUGUUUCUUUUGUUCAUUUCACCUUCUGAUGAAUAAAAUGAAAUGAAACAUAUGGUAGAUAUCAUUUUUUAGGAUUUUGAUUACUGGGA
RNAcentral lists this unclassified non-coding RNA (531 nucleotides) under Hevea brasiliensis (rubber tree). Lineage: Eukaryota; Viridiplantae; Streptophyta; Magnoliopsida; Malpighiales; Euphorbiaceae. The record is from RNAcentral.